AUUGAACGCUGACGGCAUGCCUUACACAUGCAAGUCGAACGGCAGCACGGGAGCAAUCCUGGUGGCGAGUGGCGAACGGGUGAGUAAUAUAUCGGAACGUGCCCAGUCGUGGGGGAUAACGUAGCGAAAGCUACGCUAAUACCGCAUACGAUCUAUGGAUGAAAGCGGGGGAUCGCAAGACCUCGCGCGAUUGGAGCGGCCGAUAUCAGAUUAGCUAGUUGGUGGGGUAAAGGCCCACCAAGGCGACGAUCUGUAGCUGGUCUGAGAGGACGACCAGCCGCACUGGGACUGAGACACGGCCCAGACUCCUACGGGAGGCAGCAGUGGGGAAUUUUGGACAAUGGGCGCAAGCCUGAUCCAGCAAUGCCGCGUGCAGGACGAAGGCCUUCGGGUUGUAAACUGCUUUUGUACGGAACGAAACGGCUCUCUCUAAUACAGGGGGCUAAUGACGGUACCGUAAGAAUAAGCACCGGCUAACUACGUGCCAGCAGCCGCAGUAA
RNAcentral lists this ribosomal RNA (500 nucleotides) under uncultured bacterium. RNAcentral's name for it is "partial 16S ribosomal RNA". It matches the Rfam family "Bacterial small subunit ribosomal RNA", at positions 30 to 523 of the family's 1533-position model. The record is from RNAcentral.